RNAcentral lists this ribosomal RNA (253 nucleotides) under uncultured bacterium. Its description in RNAcentral is "partial 16S ribosomal RNA". It matches the Rfam family "Bacterial small subunit ribosomal RNA", at positions 524 to 776 of the family's 1533-position model. The record is from RNAcentral.
GACGUAGGGCGCGAGCGUUGUCCGGAUUUAUUGGGCGUAAAGAGCUCGUAGGCGGCUUGUCGCGUCGGCCGUGAAAACCUGUGGCUCAACCACAGGCUUGCGGCCGAUACGGGCAGGCUCGAGUUCGGUAGGGGAGACUGGAAUUCCUGGUGUAGCGGUGAAAUGCGCAGAUAUCAGGAGGAACACCGGUGGCGAAGGCGGGUCUCUGGGCCGAUACUGACGCUGAGGAGCGAAAGCGUGGGGAGCGAACAGG